AUUGAACGCUGGCGGCAGGCUUAACACAUGCAAGUCGAGCGGGGUGAUGGUGCUUGCACUAUCACUUAGCGGCGGACGGGUGAGUAAUGCUUAGGAAUCUGCCUAUUAGUGUGGGACAACAUCCCGAAAGGGAUGCUAAUACCGCAUACGUCCUACGGGAGAAAGCAGGGGAUCACUUGUGACCUUGCGCUAAUAGAUGAGCCUAAGUCGGAUUAGCUAGUUGGUGGGGUAAAGGCCUACCAAGGCGACGAUCUGUAGCGGGUCUGAGAGGAUGAUCCGCCACACUGGGACGGAGACACGGCCCAGACUCCUACGGGAGGCAGCAGUGGGGAAUAUUGGACAAUGGGGGGAACCCUGAUCCAGCCAUGCCGCGUGUGUGAAGAAGGCCUUAUGGUUGCAAAGCACUUUAAGCGAGGAGGAGGCUCUUUUGGUUAAUACCCAAGAUGAGUGGACGUUACUCGCAGAAUAAGCACCGGCUAACUCUGUGCCAGCCGCCGCAGUAA
This 503-nucleotide ribosomal RNA is filed under the name uncultured bacterium. RNAcentral's name for it is "partial 16S ribosomal RNA". It matches the Rfam family "Bacterial small subunit ribosomal RNA", at positions 30 to 523 of the family's 1533-position model. The record is from RNAcentral.